CCAACGGCCGCGGCUUCCCUGGGGCAGCCUGGCAGGUUAUUCCUCUGCAGUAUCUCUUCCCAGCUGUACCCCACUGUCCCCCGCCUCCGCUCCCCUACCGCGGCCUCUCGCGUUUUGUCUGAAGCUCUUUUGUGCGGGACCUGGCACUUCCGGUUUAUCCUCCAGCGUGUCAGCUCACUCUCCAUCGCGCCCUCAGACUCCCUCAAACCCCGCCCCGUACGGUUCAAUUAAAGUUGACUAGUGUUCUGAGCGCAAGAAGUACCCUGGCCAGGCUUUGUGAGGCCUAUGCGAGUAGGAUGUGAGAGAGUCUUUCUGACAAAAGAAAAUGAAGACCUCGAUCUGUGACCCAGUCUAUGCUGGUCGAGAAAUCUUAAAAGGAGAGUGGAAGAGCUGUUACUUGAGGUCCUCAGGAUGCCCCAGGCCCUCUCAUGAGUUUCUUUCCAGUUAUCUCUCAUAAGAGAAAGAAGAAAAGAGAAGAAGGUGGCUUAAGCCAGUGUUUUUCGAGUGGGUCACGGGUACGAGCCCUGGUCCGGGAAGAUCCCACAUGCCGUGGAGCAACUAAGCCCGUGCACCACAACUACUGAGUCUGCACUCUAG
Molecule: non-coding RNA, 597 nt
Organism: Kogia breviceps (pygmy sperm whale)
Lineage: Eukaryota; Metazoa; Chordata; Mammalia; Artiodactyla; Physeteridae
Source: RefSeq, a predicted model, not a curated record